AUGUGGACGCCAAUCUGGUCCUAUGCGUCGGACAAGUCCAGGAACGUCGACUCGGCGAGAUCGAUUGCGCGAGCGAGCCCGGCGGCCUUGUUCUGGCACUCCUGCUGCUCAUCGUCCGGCUUACUGUCGGCGACGAUCCCGGCGCCGGUCUGGAUGUGCGCCACCCACUCCUGGCGCGCGUUGCUGCUGUCUGUGCCAUACGAGUACAUGGUGUCGAACCGGGACGCCGUCGGGAAGACAAUGGUGCGCAGGGCGAGAGCGAUGUCCAUGUCACCGCGGAAGGAGAUCUGGCCAAAGCCACCACUGUAUGGCCCGCGCAUCGUCACUUCCAUCUCGUCGAUCAGCUCCAUCGCUCUCACCUGGGAGAUGAGUUUCAGAAGGAAGCAUGUGGGAGCUUGCUCAGUGAAUUCAGGGUUGAAUCAUGGAGGCAUUGAAUUUGAACAACAGCUUUCUGGAACUCAGAAAUAUGAUUGA
RNAcentral lists this ribosomal RNA (474 nucleotides) under Triticum aestivum (bread wheat). RNAcentral's name for it is "partial small subunit ribosomal RNA". The record is from RNAcentral. Lineage: Eukaryota; Viridiplantae; Streptophyta; Magnoliopsida; Poales; Poaceae.